UCGGGGCGUAGCGUAGUCCGGUCAUCGCGCCUGGUUUGGGACCAGGAGGUCGCAGGUUCGAAUCCUGCCGCCCCGACAAU
Molecule: transfer RNA, 80 nt
Filed under: Capnocytophaga sputigena ATCC 33612
Lineage: Bacteria; Pseudomonadati; Bacteroidota; Flavobacteriia; Flavobacteriales; Flavobacteriaceae
Description: tRNA-Pro
Rfam family: tRNA
About the family: Transfer RNA (tRNA) molecules are approximately 80 nucleotides in length. Their secondary structure includes four short double-helical elements and three loops (D, anti-codon, and T loops).
Source: RNAcentral